RNAcentral lists this ribosomal RNA (277 nucleotides) under Striatella unipunctata. RNAcentral describes it as "partial Bacterial large subunit ribosomal RNA". It matches the Rfam family "Bacterial large subunit ribosomal RNA", at positions 2413 to 2689 of the family's 2925-position model. The record is from RNAcentral. Lineage: Eukaryota; Bacillariophyta; Striatellaphyceae; Striatellales; Striatellaceae.
UAGUGAUCCGGUGGUUCUGUAUGGAAGGGCCAUCGCUCAACGGAUAAAAGGUACUCCGGGGAUAACAGGCUGAUGAUGCCCAAGAGUCCAUAUCGACGGCAUCGUUUGGCACCUCGAUGUCGGCUCAUCACAUCCUGGGGCUGAAGCCGGUCCCAAGGGUAUGGCUGUUCGCCAUUUAAAGUGGUACGCGAGCUGGGUUUAGAACGUCGUGAGACAGUUCGGUCCCUAUCUGGUGUGGGCGUUGGAUGAUUGAUGGGAGCUGCUCCUAGUACGAGAG